CUCCGACAAUAUUUGCUUUUGAAAGGCUUGAAGUCCGCGGACCCCGGCACUCUCGCAGCUGACCUAAUCUUACCCUGAUGAUGAGUGGAGUUCUGCCUGGAGGUGAAGAUUCGAACCAAAGCAAUAAUUGUUCUUUAGGUAAACCUCAGCGGUUAGCAACUCUCCAGUGCCCCACAAUGAUGAAUGGAGAGUUGGACCUCUCCGGCGCCAUUCCUAAGUUCGGUUUGCCUGCUUGUAAAAGAUGUGCUUUGCAAAGUGCUUUAUACAUAAUUAACUUAAAGCCAGAAUCUCGAAGAUGUCAAAACCACCCACUGAAGUAAAUUAUUUUCCAAGUGACAUAGACCUCAAAGAAGGAGAUUUGUUUUCAUCUCACCUUCUCACCCUCCAUGAGCGGCAGCUGUAUUAUAGACCACGGGACUUCCCAUGGAGUCACUGUUCUAGGAGGAGAACCUAGCUGCGGUGGUGACCUCGUCGUUGGAAUUCGUUUCAAAAUUGACACUCCAGGGGAACUUUCCACAUGUCCCACCUCCCAGGCACAGUACACACUUCUAAAACUCUCAAAGACAUUAUUUAUAACAGUGUCUGACAAAUGGUGGCAUUGCACCAAAACGUGUAGCUGUGGAUUUUCCUCUCGUUGGCUGUAUUUGCAAUUCGGAGCCUCCCAGGCACAUGGCAAAGCCCUACUUCUUACGUGAGCCAAGAAAUUUCAUCAAGCCAAUGCUGCUUAAAGGAACUGAGAAUCGAGGACCGUGUUUACACAA
This is a long non-coding RNA of Equus quagga, 761 nucleotides long. RefSeq lists it as uncharacterized. The transcript has 3 exons. NCBI's taxonomy places the organism in Eukaryota, Metazoa, Chordata, Mammalia, Perissodactyla, Equidae. The record is from RefSeq and is a predicted model, not a curated record.